CGGAGGCCAUUGCUAUUGGGAUCCGAUUUAGCCAUGCUAGUCGUACGAGUUCACACUCGUGGCGAAUAGCUCAGUAACACGUGGCCAAACUACCCUUCGGAGCGCAAUACCCUCGGGAAACUGAGGCUAAUAGCGCAUACCAUACCACCACUGGAAUGAGUGGUAUGCCAAACGCUCCGGCGCCGAAGGAUGUGGCUGCGGCCGAUUAGGUAGACGGUGGGGUAACGGCCCACCGUGCCAAUAAUCGGUAUGGGUCAUGAGAGUGAGAACCCAGAGACGGAAUCUGAGACAAGAUUCCGGGCCCU
RNAcentral lists this ribosomal RNA (305 nucleotides) under Halorubrum sp. TP008. RNAcentral's name for it is "bacterial SSU rRNA". It matches the Rfam family "Archaeal small subunit ribosomal RNA", at positions 18 to 324 of the family's 1478-position model. RNAcentral also lists the same sequence under 1 other name. The record is from RNAcentral. Lineage: Archaea; Methanobacteriati; Methanobacteriota; Halobacteria; Halobacteriales; Haloferacaceae.